UACGUAGGGGGCUAGCGUUGUCCGGAAUCAUUGGGCGUAAAGAGCGUGUAGGCGGCCCGGUAAGUCCGCUGUGAAAGUCGGGGGCUCAACCCUCGAAUGCCGGUGGAUACUGUCGGGCUAGAGUGCGGAAGAGGCGAGUGGAAUUCCUGGUGUAGCGGUGAAAUGCGCAGAUAUCAGGAGGAACACCGAUUGCGAAGGCAGCUCGCUGGGACGCUACUGACGCUGAGACGCGAAAGCGUGGGGAGCAAACAGG
This 253-nucleotide ribosomal RNA is filed under the name uncultured bacterium. RNAcentral's name for it is "partial 16S ribosomal RNA". It matches the Rfam family "Bacterial small subunit ribosomal RNA", at positions 524 to 776 of the family's 1533-position model. The record is from RNAcentral.